UGACACUUCUCUGUCAUGAAAGGGUGAUGC
RNAcentral lists this non-coding RNA (30 nucleotides) under Rattus norvegicus (Norway rat). The record is from RNAcentral. Lineage: Eukaryota; Metazoa; Chordata; Mammalia; Rodentia; Muridae.